Molecule: ribosomal RNA, 282 nt
Filed under: uncultured Eubacteriales bacterium
Lineage: Bacteria; Bacillati; Bacillota; Clostridia; Eubacteriales
Description: uncultured Clostridiales bacterium partial 16S ribosomal RNA
Rfam family: Bacterial small subunit ribosomal RNA (bases 44-282)
Source: RNAcentral
UGCUUUGAUGAAGUUUUCGGAUGGAUUUAAACAGCUUAGUGGCGGACGGGUGAGUAACGCGUGGGUAACCUGCCUCACACUGGGGGAUAACAGUUAGAAAUAGCUGCUAAUACCGCAUAAGCGCACGGUUCCGCAUGGAACAGUGUGAAAAACUCCGGUGGUGUGAGAUGGACCCGCGUUUGAUUAGCUGGUUGGUGGGGUAACGGCCUACCAAGGCGACGAUCAAUAGCCGACCUGAGAGGGUGACCGGCCACAUUGGGACUGAGACACGGCCCAAACUCC